AUCUACGUAGGACAUAAUAUUAGCGAGACAGUUUACUGCAUAGGUAAGGUCGUCAGAAACAUGUCGGCCGGUGACAUCCUUUCCUGUAUUGUGAAGGUUAUAAAGAUAUCUAAACAGAUACACGAUGCUGUUAGAGACGUACAGAGUUUCAAAGAAAAGAGCAAAACCCUUGCCAGGAAUAUUGAACUCCUAGUUGAGCCUUUGGAAGUGCUGGAAAAGCGAUGCACCAAAGAGGAGCUGGAAAAGUAUCGGCACACUCCCGCAAAGGGAAGUGGGAGUGGCGACGCUGCUGCCGAUGUGGAUGACAAAGGAGAACAUAUCUGGAUAUCAUAUGUUCUUGAGUUACAAUCUUGUAUGGAGUGUGCCCAGGCCUUUCUCAAGGAACUUUCAGACAAACAUGUUGUUCUGAAAUUGUUUGUGAAAAGGAAAUUGCUGAUAGAUUUGACGGCUUCUACAACAGGUUAGGGAGCUUGAGACAGGGCCUAAUGUUAUCACUUCAGACGGAAUUCAGCUCGUUCAUCUCUGUCGAUAUGGUGAAAGGAUGGGAGGCGCUUUCAGUGAUCUAGACUCAAUACAAAAGGAUAUGAAAGAUCUGAAAGAAGAAAUAAAAAAGCAAGGAGAAAAUAUAGCACAGCUCUUGGAUAGAGACCCAAAGCACCUGCAGAGAUUGAGAAUCAAAUUAACUAUGCAGGCUUCAGUGAAGUCAUAAAGCUUCAUGAUGGAAAAUACGGCCCAAUCUACAAAGCUAAACACAGCUGCGCGAAAAAGAUGUUGGUUUUCAAAACUUUUGAAGACAAUGGUCUUUCUGCACGGAAGGAGCUGAAAGAGCAGUGUGGACUGUGGAUGAAGCUCAAUUUUCUCCUUUCAUCGUCCAUCUCUAUGGUUUACACGAUUGCUGAGGAUGGU
This is a long non-coding RNA of Strongylocentrotus purpuratus (purple sea urchin), 906 nucleotides long. RefSeq lists it as uncharacterized. Lineage: Eukaryota; Metazoa; Echinodermata; Echinoidea; Camarodonta; Strongylocentrotidae. The record is from RefSeq and is a predicted model, not a curated record. The transcript has 6 exons.